CCAAGUGGCACAUAUUCUCAGAGCGAAAAUGGCCAUGGGGGGCAGCCUCCCAAGCAUGGAUUUCCUCGUUAUGAAAUGAGAGCGCACAGAAGGAAAGCUCAUCGCUGAUGGAUGUUUGCUCCCCUACUAACAUCGAGAUUUACGAGUUUGACCUCCUGCAUGUGUUUGUGCCAGAUGCCGAAACUAAAAUAAUUUCGCAAAACUAGCCACAGCUAUGUUGAUCUGAUCACCACUGAACAGAAGGGGGGAAAAAUCACAAAUACACAGAGCUCUCUGGGGCUUUGAGAACGUAUCUAACCCGCUCUUCACGAACAGGAGCUGGUGUGUACCGAAGUCACUCCUCCACGAUGCUCACCUCGUCCCAUUUCUGACUAAGGCCAAGGACAGCUCACAGAUCUGGGAUACUCCUACUUGGAAGAAAUUCCUUUCUUGAAUUCAAAGGCAGAAAGUCCAAGUUCCACAAUCUCCUCUUCUUACGUCAAUAGAGUCAAAGACAAACUUUCCUGACUCCUUGAGACGACCAUUGUGUUUCCACGUGGGAUCUGAAGUACAGACCAUCCCUCCAGCCAUCAGUGGGAUACAGUGCUUACAUCAUAAGCUGUGUGAUGCUGGAGAAAGGGAGCAGCUUCAGGAAAAGGAAACUUCUGUCUCCACCAUCCCAAGCUGACUUAUCUGGUACAAGUUCUGUCCCCUCUG
Hyaena hyaena (striped hyena) is the source of this 696-nucleotide long non-coding RNA. RefSeq lists it as uncharacterized. NCBI's taxonomy places the organism in Eukaryota, Metazoa, Chordata, Mammalia, Carnivora, Hyaenidae. The record is from RefSeq and is a predicted model, not a curated record. The transcript has 3 exons.